AAGGGAGACCUAAUUCAGGUAUGGGACGAAAAAAAAGUAGUCGCUACCAAGAAUCAAUCCCAAAAGGUCGGAGCGAGGUGUGAGGCUUUCAAACUAGGUUCUGGGUUCAAACAAGACCUGAAUCAGGAACAAGGGCUAUUAGCUCAGGUGGUUAGAGCGCACCCCUGAUAAGGGUGAGGUCCCUGGUUCGAGUCCAGGAUGGCCCACCUGCACAGGUGGCAAAAACAAGAGAAGCUCCGAAUCAGCACCUUAUCUUAUCUAUAUAUAAGAGAGAAUGCUGGCUCUGAGUACAGAGUCCAGAGGAACCUUGAAAACUGCAUAGAGCUAGGUGAAAAAGCCAAAAAAGAAGACCGCAA
Molecule: transfer RNA, 356 nt
Filed under: uncultured Microcystis sp.
Lineage: Bacteria; Bacillati; Cyanobacteriota; Cyanophyceae; Chroococcales; Microcystaceae
Description: partial 16S-23S ribosomal RNA intergenic spacer
Rfam family: tRNA (bases 133-206)
Source: RNAcentral